GAUUAACGCUAGCGGCAGGCCUAAUACAUGCAAGUUGAACGGCAGCACAGGUAGCACUACUGGGUGGCGAGUGGCGCACGGGUGCGUAACACGUAUGCAACCUACCCUAUACAGGCGAAUAACCUUUAGAAAUGAGGGCUAAUACGCCGUAGUAUUACAGAUGGGCAUCUAUUUGUAAUUAAAGAUUUAUCGGUAUAGGAUGGGCAUGCGUCCCAUUAGUUAGUUGGUAAGGUAACGGCUUACCAAGACGAUGAUGGGUAGGGGAUCUGAGGGGACUUACCCCCACACUGGUACUGAGACACGGACCAGACUCCUACGGGAGGCAGCAGUAAGGAAUAUUGGGCAAUGGCCGCGAGGCUGACCCAGCCAUGCCGCGUGCAGGAAGACGGCCUUAUGGGUUGUAAACUGCUUUUAUACGGGAAUAAUAGAGUGUACGCGUACAUUUAUGCAAGUAUCGUAUGAAUAAGCAUCGGCUAACUCCGUG
This 484-nucleotide ribosomal RNA is filed under the name uncultured bacterium. RNAcentral describes it as "partial 16S ribosomal RNA". It matches the Rfam family "Bacterial small subunit ribosomal RNA", at positions 28 to 507 of the family's 1533-position model. The record is from RNAcentral.